UCCGGAUUAAAAAGGAUCCACUUGACUACGAUACACCGUCCAAAGAUUGGAAUUGGAUCAUCACACCCGUUGGGAGGCGUUGGUUCCAAAACAGCCCUAAAAUCGUUUUUUCAUCCGUCAAUUGUACAUUGGAUUUUCUUCCUCCUGUUCAUCUUCUUCGUCUAUCGUAAGAAAACGUUUACCAACAUCACCAUAAAAAAUCUAGAAUGCCUGAAAUCUUGUCGACAUAUAUUUCCAGCCAUUGAAUUGAUUUUCCUUCAUCUCUCCCUUGGUUCAUUGCUAAUCCUCUCUGUCAUUUUCCUUGGAUGCACCGCAACACCGUUCCUUAUUGUCGAUUUUUUUUUUUUGUUUUUUUGUUUUUUUUUGUUUUUGUAGUUAGGGUUUUUGAUUGGAAAUCCCAUCAUCAUCAUCAUCAUCCAGGUUUGUUCUUUGGACGACUUUAUUUUUUGUAUCUAUCAAUUAAAUUCUAUCAUUGGAAUUUGAAAUAAGAUCUGAUUAAAAUUUGUCUUUCAGAUAUGUUAUCGAUCACUCUCAUGUCGACUUACGGUUUCAAUGUUUAGGAAUUCAUCUGCUAUCUUUGACUUUUUGCUUCUUAGGUAUGGAAAUCGACCACCUACUCAGCCCUACCGAUUUGUUCAAAUCAUCUACUUUCUUUAUGCAUAUGUAUUGCUCUUAAUACCCUGUUAUCCCUUUUUCAUGCACUCCCUCUUGAUUUUUUAUAUUAACUCCUCAUUCGAACUACGAGAAGAUUGUUGAGUAUCUCUUUGACUUUGUUUUUGUAUUUUGUGUUUAUGAUUUCAUAAAUAUCUGUAUAUUUCUAGAAUAAUUAAAAUUUCUAAUUUUUUUCCAACAGUUUUUUUUUUCACGUUUAAUUCUUGCUUAUAUAGAAUGAUGGGUGUUUUCUGUAGAGACAUAGGUGAAGAAACUAUAGGCACGACUAGGAAUUUUGUAUUUUCUAUGCUCAAAUCCCAGGUAAUACUCAAGCCAUUUGAGUCAGGAACCGAAGUGGAGUAGUAAUCUAAUCAAGGUAUAUCAUGUAAGUAUAAAUUUAUUUAUGAUGUGAUUUGCUAUGAUUUUGUGAAGCCUGAUCAAAAUAUUUUUCUUUUAUUGUUAUUAACACCGUCAUCCACAACUAUGCCAACAGGUACAAGUCGCAGUGAACCGAUUUGUUGGGUAAGGCGAUGGAAGAUCAAGACGACAAGCAAGAAGUAAGAUAAUUUAUCUCUAUUUCUUUCACAUGCUUGUAAUAUUUGAUCGGUUGCAUACACUAAUGUGGCAAUAUAUCAGUCAUUUUUGUAGAUUAUUUAUGUGGGGUUUUCUUGGUAGAUUAUUUAUAUACUUUUUCAAGUUACUAAAUGUUAGGGUUGAAAUCACCGGUUCAAGGGAAAUAACUAAUUUUCAAGUUUUAAAAUUUCAAGAUCUUCAUGUGAACCCAGGUGUUCAAUAAAAUUACCAAUACUUAUGUUCAAUUGAUUACAGCAAGGUUAUAUUUUUUUUUUCAUAUUUGAUUGCACGUGGCCGAUAUUAUAGGUGUUAACUAUAAGUUAAAUCAGAGUUUCAUGUCUAUUGAUUUCCUCAAUCUACUUCCAAUGCCACACAUAACUCACUUAACAAGGUGAUUUUUUCUCUUUCAUCAUCGAAUAUACAUGUUAAACCCCAUCCAAGAAUCCAAUUUAAUGGUUAAAUCAUUCAACGUAAUAUUUUUUAGAAUUAAAUUUGAAUUUAGGUGGAAACCAACAAAUGAAUUAGAAAAAUAAGUGUGAAUUGUGUUAAUUGUUUGCAAAUUCUAUUCAAGACAUCAUUUCAGUGUUAAUCUUUAGGGGGUGUUUGGGAGUGUUUUUUAAGAUGACAUAUUAACUUAUUGGUUUUUUAUAAAGUCAAUAAGUUAAAAAAAUGUUUGGUAUAAAUAUUUAAUGUGGUGUUAUUAUUUUUAUCAGUGGUUUAUGUCAAUAAAUGCCAGAAUAGCAUUUAGAAGUGGAGUGAUAUCAAGUUUGAGCCCAACUGAUUGAUAGCAGUAAAACUAAUCAAACCAAACCAAACCAACCAUUGGAAGGCUUCAUCAUAGCUAUGUGUUCAACAGGUAAAAUUUGGGAAUUAUUCAUAUUCACCAUUAAACGUUUUUUUUAUUAUAAUUGUGGAUGACUGUAUGACUCCCAUGUUUGGAGAGAACAAUGCUAAUAUUAUGAUUCGAUGUUUUUCCCAGGUUUUCUCAUGGUGUGAAUCGUCUUCCUACUGUUUUGUGGUUAAUAAAAUGAAAGUAAACUGCCCUUUCCUACUACCAGAUGACAAAAAAUAAAAAAUAAAAGUAUGUUGCCUUUUCAUGCACACCAAAAAAUACAAAGUGCUAUUUUUUAACAUUCCCGAUUUAUAAAUUCAUUGAAUUGGCCAAUCAUCAAGUUUUUUGGAUAGACUGUUGGUGGUUGCUUUUGUAUAUGAGAUAGAUACAUUGACUUCAAUUUUUGGUGAUUUAAAUGCACCAAAAAUUUCAUUUAUUUGUAUAUACAUGUGAAGCAUCUUAUUGUUGGUGAUUAUUUGUGUAUAUGGAUUGAUUUUUAAAAUCCUUAUAAUUUAAAUGCGUCAAAACACAAUGACCAAAUGUAGGGUAAUGUACUUUCAUCUACUUGCUG
This 2627-nucleotide long non-coding RNA is filed under the name Lactuca sativa (garden lettuce). RNAcentral's name for it is "long non-coding RNA (LSAT_LNC004392)". The record is from RNAcentral. Lineage: Eukaryota; Viridiplantae; Streptophyta; Magnoliopsida; Asterales; Asteraceae.